RNAcentral lists this ribosomal RNA (720 nucleotides) under Bacillus sp. P3709. Its description in RNAcentral is "bacterial SSU rRNA". It matches the Rfam family "Bacterial small subunit ribosomal RNA", at positions 24 to 725 of the family's 1533-position model. The record is from RNAcentral. Lineage: Bacteria; Bacillati; Bacillota; Bacilli; Caryophanales; Bacillaceae.
UCAGGACGAACGCUGGCGGCGUGCCUAAUACAUGCAAGUCGAGCGGAUCGAUGGGAGCUUGCUCCCUGAGAUCAGCGGCGGACGGGUGAGUAACACGUGGGUAACCUGCCUGUAAGACUGGGAUAACUCCGGGAAACCGGGGCUAAUACCGGAUAACACCUACCCCCGCAUGGGGGAAGGUUGAAAGGUGGCUUCGGCUAUCACUUACAGAUGGACCCGCGGCGCAUUAGCUAGUUGGUGAGGUAACGGCUCACCAAGGCGACGAUGCGUAGCCGACCUGAGAGGGUGAUCGGCCACACUGGGACUGAGACACGGCCCAGACUCCUACGGGAGGCAGCAGUAGGGAAUCUUCCGCAAUGGACGAAAGUCUGACGGAGCAACGCCGCGUGAGUGAAGAAGGUUUUCGGAUCGUAAAACUCUGUUGUUAGGGAAGAACAAGUACCGUUCGAANAGGGCGGNACCUUGACGGUACCUAACCAGAAAGCCACGGCUAACUACGUGCCAGCAGCCGCGGUAAUACGUAGGUGGCAAGCGUUGUCCGGAAUUAUUGGGCGUAAAGCGCGCGCAGGUGGUUUCUUAAGUCUGAUGUGAAAGCCCACGGCUCAACCGUGGAGGGUCAUUGGAAACUGGGGAACUUGAGUGCAGAAGAGGAAAGUGGAAUUCCAAGUGUAGCGGUGAAAUGCGUAGAUAUUUGGAGGAACACCAGUGGCGAAGGCAGAC